RNAcentral lists this ribosomal RNA (253 nucleotides) under uncultured bacterium. Its description in RNAcentral is "partial 16S ribosomal RNA". It matches the Rfam family "Bacterial small subunit ribosomal RNA", at positions 524 to 776 of the family's 1533-position model. The record is from RNAcentral.
AACGUAGGACACGAGCGUUAUCCGGAGUUACUGGGCGUAAAGGGCGUUCAGGCGGGUGAUUAAGUUCGCUAUGAAAGCGCCGGGCUAAACCCGGCGAGGCUGGCGGAUACUGGUCAUCUGGAGUGAGGCAGAGGAAGGUAGAAUUCCGCGUGUAGUGGUGAAAUGCGUAGAGAUGCGGAGGAAUACCAGUGGCGAAGGCGGCCUUCUGGGCCUCAACUGACGCUGAAGCGCGAAAGCAUGGGGAGCGAACGGG